AAAGAUAAGUUCUUUAUUCUUGAGCUAAAUAUAACUUUUUUAAUUUUCUUAAUUUGUUUAAUAUCUCAAUUUCUAUUUCUAUGUCAGUACGCCUACCUCAUCUCUACCAAACAUUAUUUUUGAAGUAACUCCACCAUGCAACUUAAUAAAAUUAAAGAUUAGCUACUAACCCUGUCAUGAAAUUAUUUAGAGUUGAGGUAGAGGUACGGACCUAGGAAAUAGAAAUUGAGACAGCCAAC
RNAcentral lists this long non-coding RNA (239 nucleotides) under Ricinus communis (castor bean). Its description in RNAcentral is "long non-coding RNA (RCOM_LNC003715)". Lineage: Eukaryota; Viridiplantae; Streptophyta; Magnoliopsida; Malpighiales; Euphorbiaceae. The record is from RNAcentral.